Molecule: transfer RNA, 73 nt
Filed under: Camelus bactrianus (Bactrian camel)
Lineage: Eukaryota; Metazoa; Chordata; Mammalia; Artiodactyla; Camelidae
Also listed under: 2 other names
Rfam family: tRNA
About the family: Transfer RNA (tRNA) molecules are approximately 80 nucleotides in length. Their secondary structure includes four short double-helical elements and three loops (D, anti-codon, and T loops). Further hydrogen bonds mediate the characteristic L-shaped molecular structure. tRNAs have two regions of fundamental functional importance: the anti-codon, which is responsible for specific mRNA codon recognition, and the 3' end, to which the tRNAs corresponding amino acid is attached (by aminoacyl-tRNA synthetases). tRNAs cope with the degeneracy of the genetic code in two manners: having more than one tRNA (with a specific anti-codon) for a particular amino acid; and 'wobble' base-pairing, i.e. permitting non-standard base-pairing at the 3rd anti-codon position.
Source: Rfam by way of RNAcentral
GGAGGUAUAGCUCAAGUGGUAGAGAGUGUGCUUAGCAUGCAUGAGAUCUCAGGUUCAAUCCCCAGUACCUCCU